AUACAUAGGGGGCAAGCGUUAUCCGGAAUUAUUGGGCGUAAAGGGUGCGUAGGCGGCCUAUUAAGUCUGAGGUGUAAGUGCAGGGCUCAACCCUGUGAUGCUUUAGAAACUGGUAGACUUGAGUGAGAUAGAGGCAAGUGGAAUUCCAUGUGUAGCGGUAAAAUGCGUAAAUAUAUGGAGGAACACCAGUGGCGAAGGCGGCUUGCUGGGUCUAUACUGACGCUGAGGCACGAAAGCGUGGGGAUAGAACAGGAUUAGAUACCCUGGUAUUCCACGCCGUAAACGAUGAUGACUAACCGUCGGCGAUAGACAGCCGGUGGCCAAGCGAAAGCGAUAAGUCAUCCACCUGGGGAGUACGUCGGCAACGAUGAAACUCAAAUGAAUUGGCGGGG
RNAcentral lists this ribosomal RNA (392 nucleotides) under uncultured bacterium. Its description in RNAcentral is "partial 16S ribosomal RNA". It matches the Rfam family "Bacterial small subunit ribosomal RNA", at positions 523 to 918 of the family's 1533-position model. The record is from RNAcentral.